CAGCAGCCGCGGGAAUACGAAGGGUGCAAGCGUUACUCGGAAUUACUGGGCGUAAAGCGUGCGUAGGUGGUGGUUUAAGUCCGUUGUGAAAGCCCUGGGCUCAACCUGGGAAUUGCAGUGGAUACUGGGUCACUAGAGUGUGGUAGAGGAUAGUGGAAUUUCCGGUGUAGCAGUGAAAUGCGUAGAGAUCGGAAGGAACAUCUGUGGCGAAGGCGACUAUCUGGGCCAACACUGACACUGAGGCACGAAAGCGUGGGGAGCAAACAGGAUUAGAUACCCCCGUAGUCCCUGUCUCUUAUAA
Molecule: ribosomal RNA, 301 nt
Filed under: uncultured bacterium
Lineage: Bacteria
Description: partial 16S ribosomal RNA
Rfam family: Bacterial small subunit ribosomal RNA
Source: RNAcentral